GAUGAACGCUGGCGGCGUGCCUAAUACAUGCAAGUCGAGCGAACGGACGAGAAGCUUUCUUCUCUGAUGUUAGCGGCGGACGGGUGAGUAACACGUGGAUAACCUACCUAUAAGACUUGGAUAACUUCGGGAAACCGGAUCUAAUACCGGAUAAUAUUUUGAACCGCAUGGUUCAAAAGUGAAAGACGGUCUUGCUGUCACUUAUAGAUUGAUCCGCGCUGCAUUAGCUAGUUGGUAAGGUAAAGGCUUACCAAGGCAACGAUGCAGAGCCGACCUGAGAGGGUGAUCGGACAGACUGGAACUGAGACACGGCACAGACUCCUACGGGAGGCAGCAGUAGGGAAUCUUACGCAAUGUGCGAAAGCCUGACGGAGCAACGCCGCGUGAGUGAUGAAGGUCUUCGGAUCGUAAAACUCUGUUAUUAGGGAAGAACAUAUGUGUAAGUAACUGUGCACAUAUUGACGGUACCGAAUCAGAAAGCCACGGCUAACUACGUG
This 497-nucleotide ribosomal RNA is filed under the name uncultured bacterium. RNAcentral's name for it is "partial 16S ribosomal RNA". It matches the Rfam family "Bacterial small subunit ribosomal RNA", at positions 28 to 507 of the family's 1533-position model. The record is from RNAcentral.